UUCCAAUCUGUCUAAAGAAAAGCUCCUUUUCAAUUUCCCUAUUAUCAGAGUUAAAAAUUCUAUAAAGUUUAUUUCUUUUGUAGUAUCAGUUCUUUGUAUAAUAUCAUCGUCUCUUCUUUUGUUGCCACACCCUUGUUUUGUUGCUAUGCCUAUUAAUUCAGUUUUAAAUUGUUCCAUUUUAUUUCUUCUUUCUUUUCAUCAAUAAAAUCUCCAAUAGACAGAUUGGAUAUCUCCAAAAUCAAGGCUCCUUGGUUGUUUCCAAAAGAAUCCAAUUUAAAUAGCAAGACACAUAGUUUCUCUUUCAGCUGCUUGCAAUCCACAAUUUGCACUUUCACUUCGUCUUAGCUAUCCUCCAUUUUGUCCAUUAGAAAGUUCCGCUUGUCUUUUCCCCUUGCUUUAAAAAAUUCCUGUUUAUCGCUCCUUCCCUCUUUCUCUUUUCAGAAAUAAUCCAUUGCCAUUUAGAAAAAAGGGAUUUUCAAAUUUUUAUAACUUUCGAACAACGAUCAUUCCUAGUGAGUUAGUAAUCACAAUGAUUCAUUAAAGGGUCCUUUCCUCCUCUAAAUUAUUUUGCUAGGUCUUCUUGCCCCAAUAGCCUUUAGCCGCUAAUUAAGGCUAGGGACUCACUUGUAAAUAUCCAAAAUUUAAAACGCUGUUCCCGCCUGGGUUGAAUCUUGCUUAACCGGCUUCCGAACUCUUCGCUCUUUCACACUUUUUUUUCCUUCCUUCUUCCUUCAGCACAAUGCUUUCCCGGUUGGCCCCAGCUUUGACGCAGCCGCCAUGGCUGCCGCUCCCCCGCCGCUGACUUCAGAGGGCUUCCUCCGGCCCCGAGGAACCCGUCCGUUCCUCUCAGCUGUCCAAGGGGUCCCUCUCUCUCCCCUUGUCCCUACAGGACAGGGUAGGUCCGCAGACCUGUUGGCGGCGGCUCGACAGUCGGGGUUUUUGCGGGGCUCAUUAGAGCCCCACUAUUCCCCUGACUGGAUCACGCUGCACCAACCGGAAGUCCCAGUUUAUCAAUAUAACCUUUUAAUUGACGUAUUUUAUGUCCAAACAAUACAUUUCAUUCCUUUCAUGUACUGUAACUAAAAGAAUUUCAUUAUUUGUUUCUUUUAUUUCUUCUAGCCAAUCAUUCCUUUGUUUACACAAAAUAUUAGAGAAGGAUAUAUGACAUAUGUAAAUAUAAGAGCAAUGAGAUGGUUAUAUGAGCGAAACCGAUGGUUACCCUUUCCAGUGUGUGGAAUGUUUCCAGUUAAACUUAUAACCCAUAUUGGAAAACCAAUUCCAUAUGAUCCAGAUAUAACUCCUGAAAAAUUAGCUGAAAAGGCUCAAAGGGCAAUAGAAGAUUUAAGGGAUAAACACCAGAAAAUCCCAGGAGGCAUAUUGCAUGCUCUUAGGCAACGCUUUGAAGCACAUAACAAAGAUAAAUAGUGAUAUAACAUCAACAAUCUCUGUGGAUAAUAUAUGUAUAUAUGUAACUAAUAUAUGUGUAUGUGUAGUGCAUGAGUUCCAUCAGGCACUUUUUGAAAACAAAAUGUCGGGGAAAGAUUGAGAUGGGGUGAAAACAUUUAUUUCUUCAAUGUGUUUAAAUCUUCAAGACCAGAUUAAAUUGCAUUCUAAAAUACCAAAAGCAUUACAUGAUUUCUUUCCCCAAACCCUUAUGAAUUAUGUUUGCGAAAUCCUGGUGAACUGGCAGAUGACUGGAUAAGACCAACUGAUAUUCUAAUCUUCAAAAAGGAGGAAAAAGGAAACACAGCAAGAUAUAGACCAGUUACUCUGAUGUCGAUACUCUGAAAAAAUUAAGAGUGUAUAGUGCUAUCAUAAAAAGAUUUCUCAUUAAACACUUUGAAAACAAUUA
Pantherophis guttatus is the source of this 1852-nucleotide non-coding RNA. NCBI's taxonomy places the organism in Eukaryota, Metazoa, Chordata, Lepidosauria, Squamata, Colubridae. The record is from RefSeq and is a predicted model, not a curated record.